GACGAACGCUGGCGGCGUGCCUAAUACAUGCAAGUCGAACGGUCUUUUCUAUGGAAGCUUGCUUCCACUGAGAAGAUAGUGGCGAACGGGUGAGUAACACGUGGGUAACCUGCCCAUAAGAGGGGGAUAACAUCCGGAAACGGGUGCUAAUACCGCAUAGUUUUCUUGAUCGCAUGAUUGAGAAAGGAAAGACGGCCUUUGUGCUGUCGCUUAUGGAUGGACCCGCGGCGUAUUAGUUAGUUGGUGAGGUAACGGCUCACCAAGACGAUGAUACGUAGCCGACCUGAGAGGGUGAUCGGCCACAUUGGGACUGAGACAUGGCCCAAACUCCUACGGGAGGCAGCAGUAGGGAAUCUUCCGCAAUGGACGAAAGUCUGACGGAGCAACGCCGCGUGAGUGAAGAAGGUUUUCGGAUCGUAAAACUCUGUUGUCAGAGAAGAACAAGUUGGAGAGUAACUGCUCCAGCCUUGACGGUAUCUGACCAGAAA
This 488-nucleotide ribosomal RNA is filed under the name uncultured bacterium. RNAcentral describes it as "bacterial SSU rRNA". It matches the Rfam family "Bacterial small subunit ribosomal RNA", at positions 28 to 489 of the family's 1533-position model. The record is from RNAcentral.